Molecule: ribosomal RNA, 160 nt
Filed under: uncultured eukaryote
Lineage: Eukaryota
Description: partial small subunit ribosomal RNA
Rfam family: Eukaryotic small subunit ribosomal RNA
Source: RNAcentral
GUACACACCGCCCGUCGCUACUACCGAUUGAAUGCGAAGGUGAAAUCUUUGGAUAAGAGGGAAACUUAUACUUUUCUUUUUAGAAAUUGAUUAAACCUUAUCAUUUAGAGGAAGGAGAAGUCGUAACAAGGUUUCCGUAGGUGAACCUGCAGAAGGAUCA